RNAcentral lists this ribosomal RNA (853 nucleotides) under Cylindrium magnoliae. RNAcentral describes it as "Cylindrium sp. PA-2020a partial large subunit ribosomal RNA". It matches the Rfam family "Eukaryotic large subunit ribosomal RNA", at positions 45 to 928 of the family's 3401-position model. Lineage: Eukaryota; Fungi; Ascomycota; Sordariomycetes; Hypocreales; Cylindriaceae. The record is from RNAcentral.
AAUAAGCGGAGGAAAAGAAACCAACAGGGAUUGCCCUAGUAACGGCGAGUGAAGCGGCAACAGCUCAAAUUUGAAAUCUGGCCCUAGGCCCGAGUUGUAAUUUGUAGAGGAUGCUUUUGGUGCGGUACUUUCCGAGUUCCCUGGAACGGGACGCCUUAGAGGGUGAGAGCCCCGUACGGUUGGAUACCUAGCCUCUGUAAAGCUCCUUCGACGAGUCGAGUAGUUUGGGAAUGCUGCUCAAAAUGGGAGGUAAAUUUCUUCUAAAGCUAAAUACCGGCCAGAGACCGAUAGCGCACAAGUAGAGUGAUCGAAAGAUGAAAAGCACUUUGAAAAGAGGGUUAAAUAGCACGUGAAAUUGUUGAAAGGGAAGGACUUAUGACCAGACUUUUUCUAGGCGGAUCAUCCGGUGUUCUCACCGGUGCACUUCGCCUAGUUAAGGCCAGCAUCGGUUUCUCUAGGGGGAUAAAAGCAGUAGGAAUGUGGCUCCUCCGGGAGUGUUAUAGCCUAUUGUAUAAUACCUUUAGGGGGACCGAGGUUCGCGCUUCGGCAAGGAUGCUGGCAUAAUGGUCAUCAGUCACCCGUCUUGAAACACGGACCAAGGAGUCGAACAUUUAUGCGAGUGUUUGGGUGUUAAACCCUCACGCGUAAUGAAAGUGAACGGAGGUGAGAGCCUUAGGGUGCAUCAUCGACCGAUCCUGAAGUCUUCGGAUGGAUUUGAGUAAGAGCAUAACUGUUCGGACCCGAAAGAUGGUGAACUAUGCGUGGAUAGGGUGAAGCCAGAGGAAACUCUGGUGGAGGCUCGCAGCGGUUCUGACGUGCAAAUCGAUCGUCAAAUCUGCGCAUGGGGGCGAAA